Non-coding RNA from Physcomitrium patens, 1887 nucleotides. The record is from RefSeq and is a predicted model, not a curated record. Lineage: Eukaryota; Viridiplantae; Streptophyta; Bryopsida; Funariales; Funariaceae.
GAUCACGUGAUUCCAUGCCAGUACUCACAAGAGAUGAGAUAUGGUUACACGAGUGUGGUAGGUUCCUUGGUCGCGCGCCUAUGCUGUGCUCCACAGCUUACUCAUAACCGCUGCCCAAAGCGUACUUGCUUUGCAGUGCAGUAGAUUUAGCUGGCUUUGAUCACGAUACAGGUCAUCAGACAUGCCUCCUUAUAGUGCCGAGAGAUGGCUCAAAACUCCCACAAUGCGUUGUCAAUACAAUGGGAGACGCAAAGACCUCCAUGAAUGGUGGGUGGAAAUCCCAAUUGAUUUUGCUGACGGAAAUUCCUUACAAGAUGGAGCUGCUCAGUGGUGCACAGUUGCCCUCAACUUCCGCGCAUGCAACUCAGAAACACUAGUGAUCUCACACGUGGAAGCAGCAGGAGUGUGCCAUCACCAGGACGCGAGACGUGCACCCAAUAACUGUCGAAUCUCUGUAUGAUUGCGCUGAAUGUUGGAUUUGUCGAACAUGAAGCGAUGAACAGUGUACACUAAACUCACAUUCUUAACUUUGUGGUGAACUUUUGAAGCCUAAAUGGCACACCACGCGUGGAGUGCAGUUGUCCUAACCAGCAUGAUUCGGUUUCUAUUUGCAUCUGAGAAGAAUAUGGUGGAUAUUAUCAACAAAUCAAGACCAGUAGAACCUAUUGGUGGAGUUAGUGGCAAGCCAAACCGCGGGAUUGUAGGAAUCUUCUUUUCUCCCACCUGCGGUAACAAUUUCAGAUAAAGUUGGCUGACGUCUAUCUUUCCAAAUGUUCACAUUGGCCAAGCGAAAGUUACGAUAAUGCUGUCUUAAAAAGAAAUGGGACAGUAAUUUACCUUAUGAUACCUCUACAUGUUCAAAGAUCCCUUUUUCAGGUUGUGUCUCGAACUGCUUCAGUGAUCAGGUCGGGAUACUUUCAGAGAGCUCAACUUGCACGAGUCCAGCAAGAUAAUGAUUGUGCAGCCUUUCGUUCACUGCACUCUCAACACGUGCACAAUCGACUGAAGAGGACCAAUUUCACCUGUCAAAAAGAUGAAAAAAAAAAAAGGGCUGGUGUGAACCACCAGUCCCGCAUGAGUGAUAAUCAAAGGAGCUCGAUAGUUGCUGUUUUGACAUCACAACGGACCGCAUCAAUCACCUUCAGACCCCAGAGGGACUCUUAGCUAUCCUAUUCAAAACAGAAGACAAGUCUGGCGAUGCUGAGAUUUGUUCAUCAAGACCUGCGGCAGCAGAAGCUGCAGCAGAUUGAACCUCUCCGUACCUGACUGGCUCUCAUGUCUCUGAUUCUUACUCUUAUGUUACGUAAGUCACCCAUGUCUUUGAACGGAUCUAUUCAUGUCGCUCAUUGUCUCCAUUUCAAAAGUCAGAUCCUUCAUGUGGACGUAGGAAAGGAUGGGCACUGAGUUCAAUGAAUCCUUCACCUAGAAUUCAGAUGUUAAUCAUCAUGUAUAGUUUGGACAAAGGACAUUCAGUGUUCUAUGUGUCUGACCUGUCGCCAGCAUGGAUCGCCCGUCAGACCCUGAGCAGCCCUUGAAUUACAAGCCACCAAACUGUGAAGGAACAGGUCAGGGUCUUCAUCGCGCAUCUUCAUUGUUGCAUGUGCUUGCGAUUGGGUUAACUGGAGAAAUACAUAAUUAAAUGCAUGCAAAUUGAUAGGAAAAACAUCAGACAAGAAGUACAUUAGCGGGUGGGUGAGAAACGGAGGAUGCUCGCUCUCCAAUUGUGAAAAUGAAGCGACUGCAUUGACAAUCCCGCAAGGAGUGAAGUACCUUUUCACUUGAGGCACUGGCAUGCCCAUAAACUGCUGACUCUUGAAUAACUUAUGUUCAAGAAGUUCCACUGCAGCAAGACGUUGAAUCAUAAUAACCCGUAACUUUUUCCUGUAA